RNAcentral lists this transfer RNA (65 nucleotides) under Macracanthopsis nodipes. Its description in RNAcentral is "tRNA-Pro". It matches the Rfam family "tRNA". From Rfam's summary of the family: Transfer RNA (tRNA) molecules are approximately 80 nucleotides in length. Their secondary structure includes four short double-helical elements and three loops (D, anti-codon, and T loops). Lineage: Eukaryota; Metazoa; Arthropoda; Insecta; Hemiptera; Reduviidae. The record is from RNAcentral.
CAGUAAAUAGUUUAAAGAAAACAUUAAUUUUGGAGAUUAAUAAUGGGAGUUAUUCUCUUUUCUGA